This 407-nucleotide ribosomal RNA is filed under the name uncultured bacterium. RNAcentral describes it as "partial 16S ribosomal RNA". It matches the Rfam family "Bacterial small subunit ribosomal RNA", at positions 29 to 526 of the family's 1533-position model. The record is from RNAcentral.
AUUGAACGCUGGCGGCAGGCCUAACACAUGCAAGUCGAGCGGAGCGGCGGACGGGUGAGUAAUGACUAGGAAUCUGCCUGCUUGUGGGGGAGAACGAACGGAAAGGAGCGGUAAUACCGCAUACUAUCAAAUAAGCCUAGGGCGGAUUAGCUAGUUGGUGGGGUAAAGGCCUACCAAGGCGACGAUCCGUAGCUGGUCUGAGAGGAUGAUCAGUCAAACUGGAACUGAGACACGGUCCAGACUCCUACGGGAGGCAGCAGGGGGGAAUAGUGGACAAUGGGCGAAAGCCUGAUGCAGCCAUGCCGCGUGUGUGAAGAAGGUCUUCGGAUUGUAAAGCACUUUAAGUUGGGAGGCGUUACCAACAGAAGAAGCACCGGCUAACUUCGUGCCAGCAGCCGCGGUAAUAC